GGUCGUAUAGCGCAGUGGUAGCGCGCUGCUUUCACAGAGCAGAUGUCCUUGGUUCAAAUCCAAGUACGACCA
This 72-nucleotide transfer RNA is filed under the name archaeon CG2_30_31_98. Its description in RNAcentral is "tRNA-Val". It matches the Rfam family "tRNA". Rfam says of the family: Transfer RNA (tRNA) molecules are approximately 80 nucleotides in length. Their secondary structure includes four short double-helical elements and three loops (D, anti-codon, and T loops). Further hydrogen bonds mediate the characteristic L-shaped molecular structure. tRNAs have two regions of fundamental functional importance: the anti-codon, which is responsible for specific mRNA codon recognition, and the 3' end, to which the tRNAs corresponding amino acid is attached (by aminoacyl-tRNA synthetases). tRNAs cope with the degeneracy of the genetic code in two manners: having more than one tRNA (with a specific anti-codon) for a particular amino acid; and 'wobble' base-pairing, i.e. permitting non-standard base-pairing at the 3rd anti-codon position. RNAcentral also lists the same sequence under 2 other names. The record is from RNAcentral.